CCUACGGGAGGCAGCAGGGGGGAAUAUUGCACAAUGGGGGAAACCCUGAUGCAGCGACGCCGCGUGAGGGAAGAAGGGGUGCGGCGCGGAAAGCUCUGUCAGCGGGGAAGAAAAACGGUGCGCGAGAGCCGCGGACGGUAUCCGACCAAGAAGCCCCGGCUAACUACGUGCCAGCAGCCGCGGGAAUACGUAGGGGGCAAGCGUUAUCCGGAUUCACGGGGUGUAAAGGGAGCGUAGGAGGCGAGACAAGUCUGGAGUGAAAGGCCGGGGCCCAACCCCGGGACUGCUCUGGAAACUGGCUGGCUGGAGUACAGGAGAGGUAAGUGGAAUUCCUGGUGUAGCGGUUAAAUUCGUAGAUCUUAGGAGGCACACCAGUGGCGAAGGCGGCUUACUGGACUGUAACUGACGUUGAGGCUCGAAAGCGUGGGGAGCAAACAGGAUUAGAUACCCUUGUAGUC
This 458-nucleotide ribosomal RNA is filed under the name uncultured bacterium. RNAcentral describes it as "partial 16S ribosomal RNA". It matches the Rfam family "Bacterial small subunit ribosomal RNA", at positions 338 to 795 of the family's 1533-position model. The record is from RNAcentral.